UUGAACGCUGGCGGCAGGCCUAACACAUGCAAGUCGAGCGGUAGAGAGGUGCUUGCACCUCUUGAGAGCGGCGGACGGGUGAGUAAUGCCUAGGAAUCUGCCUGGUAGUGGGGGAUAACGCUCGGAAACGGACGCUAAUACCGCAUACGUCCUACGGGAGAAAGCAGGGGACCUUCGGGCCUUGCGCUAUCAGAUGAGCCUAGGUCGGAUUAGCUAGUUGGUGGGGUAAUGGCUCACCAAGGCGACGAUCCGUAACUGGUCUGAGAGGAUGAUCAGUCACACUGGAACUGAGACACGGUCCAGACUCCUACGGGAGGCAGCAGUGGGGAAUAUUGGACAAUGGGCGAAAGCCUGAUCCAGCCAUGCCGCGUGUGUGAAGAAGGUCUUCGGAUUGUAAAGCACUUUAAGUUGGGAGGAAGGGCAUUAACCUAAUACGUUAGUGUUUUGACGUUACCGACAGAAUAAGCACCGGCUAACUCUGUGCCAGCAGCCGCGGUAAUACAGAGGGUGCAAGCGUUAAUCGGAAUUACUGGGCGUAAAGCGCGCGUAGGUGGUUCGUUAAGUUGGAUGUGAAAGCCCCGGGCUCAACCUGGGAACUGCAUUCAAAACUGUCGAGCUAGAGUAUGGUAGA
This 631-nucleotide ribosomal RNA is filed under the name Pseudomonas sp. T2Y. Its description in RNAcentral is "bacterial SSU rRNA". It matches the Rfam family "Bacterial small subunit ribosomal RNA", at positions 29 to 655 of the family's 1533-position model. The record is from RNAcentral. Lineage: Bacteria; Pseudomonadati; Pseudomonadota; Gammaproteobacteria; Pseudomonadales; Pseudomonadaceae.